GAUGAACGCUGGCGGCGUGCUUAACACAUGCAAGUCGAACGAUGAAGCCCAGCUUGCUGGGUGGAUUAGUGGCGAACGGGUGAGUAACACGUGAGUAACCUGCCCUUAACUCUGGGAUAAGCCUGGGAAACUGGGUCUAAUACCGGAUAGGAGCGUCCACCGCAUGGUGGGUGUUGGAAAGAUUUAUCGGUUUUGGAUGGACUCGCGGCCUAUAAGCUUGUUGGUGAGGUAAUGGCUCACCAAGGCGACGACGGGUAGCCGGCCUGAGAGGGUGACCGGCCACACUGGGACUGAGACACGGCCCAGACUCCUACGGGAGGCAGCAGUGGGGAAUAUUGCACAAUGGGCGAAAGCCUGAUGCAGCGACGCCGCGUGAGGGAUGACGGCCUUCGGGUUGUAAACCUCUUUCAGUAGAGAAGAAGCGAAAGUGACGGUACCUGCAGAAGAAGCACCGGCUAACUACGUG
This 466-nucleotide ribosomal RNA is filed under the name uncultured bacterium. RNAcentral's name for it is "partial 16S ribosomal RNA". It matches the Rfam family "Bacterial small subunit ribosomal RNA", at positions 28 to 507 of the family's 1533-position model. The record is from RNAcentral.